RNAcentral lists this ribosomal RNA (510 nucleotides) under uncultured bacterium. RNAcentral describes it as "bacterial SSU rRNA". It matches the Rfam family "Bacterial small subunit ribosomal RNA", at positions 37 to 518 of the family's 1533-position model. The record is from RNAcentral.
UGGCGGCGUGCCUAAUACAUGCAAGUCGAACGGCUUUUCUAUGGAAGCUUGCUUCCACUGAGAAGAUAGUGGCGGACGGGUGAGUAACACGUGGGUAACCUGCCCAUAAGAGGGGGGAUAACAUCCGGAAACGGGUGCUAAUACCGCAUAGUUUUCUUGAUCGCAUGAUUGAGAAAGGAAAGACGGCCUUUGUGCUGUCGCUUAUGGAUGGACCCGCGGCGUAUUAGUUAGUUGGUGAGGUAACGGCUCACCAAGACGAUGAUACGUAGCCGACCUGAGAGGGUGAUCGGCCACAUUGGGACUGAGACACGACCCAAACUCCUACGGGAGGCAGCAGUAGGGAAUCUUCCGCAAUGGUCGAAAGUCUGACGGAGCAACGCCGCGUGAGUGAAGAAAAGGUUUUCGGAUCGUAAAACUCUGUUGUCAGAGAAGAACAAGUCGGAGAGUAACUGCUCCGGCCUUGACGGUAUCUGACCAGAAAGCCACGGCUAACUACGUGCCAGCAGCGGC